RNAcentral lists this ribosomal RNA (211 nucleotides) under Dothideomycetes sp. RNAcentral's name for it is "partial small subunit ribosomal RNA". It matches the Rfam family "Eukaryotic small subunit ribosomal RNA", at positions 1471 to 1679 of the family's 1831-position model. The record is from RNAcentral. Lineage: Eukaryota; Fungi; Ascomycota; Dothideomycetes.
CCUUAGAUGUUCUGGGCCGCACGCGCGCUACACUGACAGAGCCAACGAGUUACUUCACCUUCGGCCGAAAGGUCUGGGUAAUCUUGUUAAACUCUGUCGUGCUGGGGAUAGAGCAUUGCAAUUAUUGCUCUUCAACGAGGAAUGCCUAGUAAGCGCGUGUCAUCAGCAUGCGUUGAUUACGUCCCUGACCUUUGUACACACCGCCCGUCGC